Molecule: small RNA, 550 nt
Filed under: Pan troglodytes (chimpanzee)
Lineage: Eukaryota; Metazoa; Chordata; Mammalia; Primates; Hominidae
Description: processed transcript
Source: RNAcentral
GACGCUUCUGGUUCCAGGCCGCCCUCCGGAUCGGACCCUGCGAAUGGUUUUGGCUAUAUCUUCAUGUAGGACUUACUCCCUAUCCCGUGGGCCGCGGCUGGGCUUCAUCACCAGGCCUCCUCACAGAUUCCUGUCCGUUCUGUGUCCUGGACUCCGGAUACCUCAACUCUCAGUACUUUGUGCUCAGCCCAGGCCCAGAGCCAUGGCUAUCUCCUCUUCCUCCUGCGAACUGCCCCUGGUGGCUGUGUGCCAGGUAACAUCGACGCCAGACAAGCAACAGAACUUUAAAACAUGUGCUGAGCUGGUUCGAGAGGCUGCCAGACUGGGUGCCUGCCUGGCUUUCCUGCCUGAGGCAUUUGACUUCAUUGCACGGGACCCUGCAGAGACGCUACACCUGUCUGAACCACUGGGUGGGAAACUUUUGGAAGAAUACACCCAGCUUGCCAGGGAAUGUGGACUCUGGCUGUCCUUGGGUGGUUUCCAUGAGCGUGGCCAAGACUGGGAGCAGACUCAGAAAAUCUACAAUUGUCACGUGCUGCUGAACAGCAAC